Molecule: ribosomal RNA, 394 nt
Filed under: uncultured bacterium
Lineage: Bacteria
Description: partial 16S ribosomal RNA
Rfam family: Bacterial small subunit ribosomal RNA
Source: RNAcentral
AUACGUAGGGGACGAGCGUUGUCCGGAAUUACUGGGCGUAAAGGGCGCGCAGGCGGAUAUUUAAGUCAGCUGUAAAAGGCAUGAGCUCAACUCAUGUAUGCGGUUGAAACUGGGUAUCUAGAGUGCUGGAGAGGUAGGCGGAAUUCCCGGUGUAGCGGGGAAAUGCGUAGAUAUCGGGAAGAACACCAGUGGCGAAGGCGGCUUACUGGCCAGCAACUGACGCUGAGGCGCGAAAGCCAGUGGAGCGAACGGGAUUAGAUACCCCGGUAGUCCUGGCCGUAAACGAUGAAUGCUAGGUGUGGGUGUCGAGAGGCAUCCGUGCCGGAGUUAACGCGAUAAGCAUUCCGCCUGGGGAGUACGAUCGCAAGAUUGAAACUCAAAUGAAUUGGCGGGG